GGAUCCUACGGGAGGCAGCAGUGGGGAAUAUUGGGCAAUGGGCGCAAGCCUGACCCAGCAACGCCGCGUGAAGGAAGAAGGCUUUCGGGUUGUAAACUUCUUUUAAGAGGGAAGAGCAGAAGACGGUACCCCUUUAGGAAGCCACGGCUAACUACGUGCCAGCAGCCGCGGUAAUACGUAGGUGGCGAGCGUUGUCCGGAAUUACUGGGUGUAAAGGGAGUGUAGGCGGGAAAGCAAGUCAGAAGUGAAAACUAUGGGCUUAACCCAUAGCCUGCUUUUGAAACUGUUUUUCUUGAGUGAAGUAG
Molecule: ribosomal RNA, 305 nt
Filed under: uncultured bacterium
Lineage: Bacteria
Description: bacterial SSU rRNA
Rfam family: Bacterial small subunit ribosomal RNA
Source: RNAcentral